CUCAAGAUUAAGCCAUGCAAGUGGUUACAUUAACCCGACAGUUUAAAUAAGUGUUCAAUGCUAUCACGCAUAUAUGCAAUGCAUGCAAAAAUAUAUUUACGCAUACACACACACACACCCGCGCAUAUAUAUUAAGGCAAGCAACGCAUGAAUUUUGUUUACGAUAGUAACAAAAUUUCAGCGUGAAUCACACAUACGCACACAGUGAAUCAAAGCGAAAUUUUACAAUUUCAACGUAUCACUUACGCAACUGCAGACAGCUGCUUAAUACAGUCACACUUGUCUUGACUUGGCACACACACACACACACACACACGAUUUCUCUGUAUCGCAUAUUCAUACAAGAAGAAAAUUGCGUUACACCGUGACACUUUUUAUCUUUUUUAUGGAUAACUCAGGGAAAGUUUGGCUAAUACGUACGAGUACAAUACACACACACACACACACACACACUCUAUACAMUACUCAACACUCAGUGRUAAUCUUUGAUUUAYGUGUAUUCUUACGCGUCUAUCAWUAUAAAGUUUAAUCGCAACAUGAGAGACAUUGAGCACGCACGUGUARUGUGAAUUUAUUCACGUUACACACCCACGCUGAGCAGACUKUGCGAAGUUUACUUUUGCGAAGCAUGUCAUACAAGCAUCUACAGCAUCAAGUCACAGGGUUGGCAAGUGUAUUUUUGAACCUUCAAAGCAGUCACGCAUACGGAAGAGUAGUUUCUGAUCCCAUAGAAGGAGCACCGUACAAUGAGAGACCGCUCUUAGUUCUAAGGAACGCAGCAGGCGCGUAAAUUGCCCAAUGCUAGUACCCUACAAUCAUACUAUAUUUGCAAUUUACUUUAUUACGCAUUACGACACUGUACUAUUUUAUUCUGUUAUACACACACACACACACAUCCUUGUUCACACGCGUAAGUAAGUUAUUAUAUAUAUACGUAUAUUUUAUUUACUGAGGCAGUGACAAGCUGUAACGGUUGAGUAUAAAAAUGACGAGUGUCUGGCAUUGCCGCUCCUUCGGGAGCUUGGCAAGUUGCCGACGCUUUGUGUGCUCAAUUGGAAUGCGGUGAGUUUAAGCAACUCAGAACCUUUUAACGGUGUUACGUAAAAAUUUCACUGUUGAUGUAUCUGAAUUCAAGUGGAGGGCAAGUCUGGUGCNNNNNNCCGCGGUAAUACCAGCUCCACUGGCCUAUACAAUCAUUGUUGCGGUUAAGAGGCUCGUAGUUGGAUUGAACUGCAAUAUGAAUUUUUUAUUCGCUAAUAAAUUCUAUAUUUCAGUAUUCUCGCAUAUGUGUGAUACACACACACACACACCUACAUACAUAUGCGUUCGACGCUGUUAUUUCAAAUAUACGCGUCUUGUAUAUUUCUUACGGCAAUUUUUUUUUCUGCGACAUGCACACACACACACACACACACACAUUUGUGCACCACUCGCACACGGGGAAAAUUUUUGUCACUAGUAUUUAUUCGCAAUACACACACACUCAUAUUUCAACACUGUGAACAAAUCAGAGUGUAUCAAACAUGUCGUUUUUGAAUGUGCAUUGAAUGUCUUAUCAUGGGAUGUUGCACUUUCAUACCGGUUAAAGAUUUACGUCUUCGAUCACACACACACAUGUUACGCAUACACACAUACACACGCUUUCGCGAGCGCGCGUAAUUUACAAGGUCGCUAAAUAUUUCUUUAACGGUUAAAAAUGUCGAUGGAGAUAGUUGGAGUCAACAGUACUGCUGGGCGAGAGGUGAAAUUCAUUGACCCUAGCAAGACUACCAAAAGCGAAAGCAGUUGGGCUAGGCUAUACUCUUUGUGAUUAUAUUAUAUACGUACACCCACACACACUCACACACACACAUGUAUAUUAUUUUUUUGCGCAUACACACACACACACACUUGCGCAUCAACAAUUGUUACAUACACACGCGUAUAUUUUUUAAUACACUUUACAAUGAAGAACGAAGGUUGGGGGAUCAAAGAGGAUCAGAUACCCUCGUCGUCCCAUUAAUUACAUCAAACGAUGGGCUCUCAAUUGCAUUUAUUCACAAUAAAUUGCAAAUUUCCUCAGCCUACAAAAUUUAUUCGGCUUGAGCUCGUGAUUCUAUCACGCUCGCCUAUAGUAUUUUUUCGUAUGGUCUCGAUGGACGUUUCAUUUAUUUAUAUUUUUUGCGUGUAAGCAUUAUGUUAUUCUUUGAAACAUAAGAAUGCAUUGCGUGCACUUGAUUUUCGGAGCUUUGCGCUCAAUUCUGGUGAGAUGUAAGCACUAUGUUAUUCUGCCCGUACCGCGUAUGUGUUCACUCACAUUUCGCCUGGUAUCCGUGUGCAGUAUUUAACAAUUUCGGUGUGAAGCACGCUUUAGGCACGCGCUUACUGCAGAAAUGUCUGAGACAUUCCCCUCCGGGGGUAGUAUGCACGCAAGUGUGAAACUUGAAGGAAUUGACGGAAGGGCACCACAAGAACGCGUGGAGCAUGUGGCUUAAUUUGACUCAACGCGGGAAAUCUUACCGGGUCCGGACACACUGAGGAUUGACAGGCAAUAUUAAUAUGUGUGACUUUUUUGUCUUUCACGAGUGAGAAAGCUUACGUACAUUAUGUUAAAUAUGCUAGUCCUUUCAUGAUUAUGUGAUAGGUGGUGCAUGGCCGUUCUUAGUUCGUGGAGUGAUCUGUCUGCUUAAUUGCGUUUCACUAAGGGCCUAUACAAUUACGUAUGUUGUUGAUUGCACUUUGACCCCUCCUUCACGGGUGCGUGUGUCUUUGCUUUGCUUCAACUCAUACAAUUAGGUCCUGAAAGCAACGAACGUGACCGCAACCUCUUGUUGCUUUCGUAUACCAUUUAUAACACAGUUUUUUUUAUAUAUGUAUUCGUACAUCAUAUAAAAUUGCUGUGCAAGAAAGCUUUUUAAACUAGAGGGACCGCUGUUAUCUUCUUAAACCAGAGGAAGGUUGCGGCAAUAACAGGUCUGUGAUGCCCUUAGAUGUUCCGGGCUGCACACGUGCUACAAUGGAUUAUUGCAGUGAGCAUCUCAUUUUUUACACACCGCAUGCGCGAGUCCAUUUAUUCACAUUGCCUUCACGGGGCUGUGCUUUAAAUGUGUAUCUCUGCGCGCGGUAAAGCCUGCUUCGAGAGUAAGUGGGUAAUCAAUUAGAAGUAAUGAUUUCCUUUUUUUUCUGCACACAUAUAUACGGCAGCUAUACCCGGGUAACCUUGUUGUUACUUUUGUGUGUAUAGUUGUACCCUUUUUCCGUAUGUGCGAUUGUCAAUUCAUGGUGGGGACAGACCAUUGUUAAUUGUUGGUCUCGGUCUUAACUAGGAAUGCCUUGUACGGGUCUUUGGUUCAACAAACCACCCGGAAUACGUCCCUGCCCUUUGUACACACCGCCCGUCGCUCUUACCGAUGGACUUCUCUGUGAGUUUGAAGGACUGGGAACGCAUUGCGUUUACGCUUUGCACACCUAUGGAAACUUAAACGAACAGUGUGGUCUAAAGGAAAGAGAAGUCGUAACAAGGCAUCAGUAGGUGAAC
RNAcentral lists this ribosomal RNA (3517 nucleotides) under Uvigerina peregrina. RNAcentral describes it as "SSU rRNA". It matches the Rfam family "Eukaryotic small subunit ribosomal RNA". Lineage: Eukaryota; Foraminifera; Rotaliida; Uvigerinidae. The record is from RNAcentral.